Molecule: long non-coding RNA, 2702 nt
Filed under: Bemisia tabaci
Lineage: Eukaryota; Metazoa; Arthropoda; Insecta; Hemiptera; Aleyrodidae
Description: lncRNA ENSSSA1NGG007173
Source: RNAcentral
UUCGAUGGACAAUAAUUUAAAGUGGAGUAUGUAAAGAGCUGAGAUCAGCACUACAACAUAUUCGUUGCAACAAUUGCUACAGAUGCAUCUGAAGGCGAAUUGUUCAGUUGAAAAAAAAAGAGUAUGAUAGGUAGUCUGCAUGUAACGAGAGGGUAUAUAUUCGAUUGACAUGAAUCGAACGAAAAAAAAGCGAGAACCGAUUAACACCGAUUGAAUGGACAAAUAAAUAAAACAAGCUGUCAGCUCCACCACGUACGUGCUGGAAGAGUCGACCAUGGGGUCAUGGUGGGCAUUUUGGUUAUCUGUAAAUAAUUGGAUAAUCUGAGAAUGUACGUAGUAAAUUUUUGUAGUCUUAACUAGAGGAAAUAAAGUGUAAAAAUAUUUGGUUGGAAUUCCAUUUUCUCGUCCCGACACUUGAAACAAUCACCUUUAUUUUAAAAAUUUCCUAAUUAAAAAUAUGGUAAUAAUAAAAAAAUCCAUUUGUAUUAGAUGAAAAUAUACACAAAACAUAUAUUGGUAAAAAUGUUGGUUUAUUUUAAGCACAUGACUACAAAUCCAAAUAUGCAUGUUAGUAUCAAAACAUAAAUGUUUUAAAACGUAUAUAGUUUAUAAAAGACAUACAAUGUUUUACUUGAUAGGAAAAAAUCAUUUUGUUUUAACGGACGGAAUCUAUAUUGGCGCAAUAAUUCCUGAGAAUUUUCCUCAAUUUUAGUUUCUUUUUUCUCACACCUUGUGUCCACGUUCACCUUCAUUAAUUUUCAAAAACUUGGUCUUUUAAGUUAACUCAUUACGUCUAUUCUCUGAGUGAACGAGUUUUUUAAAAGUUUUUUUCAAUAAGGUUUCUACUAAACACCAAAACAUUUAUAAAAGAAGCGCGACAAGGUUUUCGCGUUUUGUAAUAGAUGGCCAUUUGUUUUCAUUCAGCGUGAUCACCCAUGUUGAUCAAUUUUGAAAAUCUUGGUUUUAUGAUUUGGUUUUUUGCAUCUACUUUGCGAGUAUAUUAGGUUAUAUGAUCUUAUUUUCAGCAACUUCUCCGCAAAACACAAUAAUAUAAGAGAUUUCUCGUGGUAAAAAGAUACUCAAGCACCUACUAAAACCAAUAGUAAAUCGUUUGUGGUUCCUUUUGUCAAAAUCAACUUUUCCAAACUCGAUUUUGCCAAAAGGAACCACAACCAAAAUCCCUUAGGCUUAUGGCUGUUUACUCUAGGGCUUAUUUUUCGAGCAAAACUGUGGUUCCCUUUUGCAUAAAUCCGUGCAUUUAAUAUUAAGCCCGAAAAAACAGGUUGAAGUUAAGAGUGAGGAACCAUUUGUUUCAUGUAACACACCAGAUUGGUGACGCCGCAUGACUCAUAAAAUUGAUGCUACAACAAGUACAGAAAUUACUGGAGUUGUGAUUGGAGGUACGAGGAUAUUGUUAAAUUGUUCAGCUAACUUGAGUUAUUUAAACACUCUUUUAAUAUUGUUUGUAAGGGAGGUGUGACAUCACAGGUCUUAUGUGGUGCAUGAAAGCAAAGGUUGCUCAUACAAAACUUUAACAUCAUUUUUUCGUUAAAUAUACAAUAGAAUCAAUUCUUGAUAGACUUUGCAUAAUGUCAAUGGAAAUGGAAUAAAGAUGUAACUGGAAUAUUAAAAGUUCUUCAAACGUAUGUAGAAAAAGUUUAAAUAAGAAUACGUAUUUACCACUCAUUGGAUCCGAAAUGAUUGAUACGUCAUCAUAAUUAUUAAUCAUUGAAAGUUCUUCUUUGUCACUGUCAGAGCUCACUUUUAAUCAUUGAAAGUUCUUCUUUGUCACUGUCAGAGCUCACUUUUCAUCAUCCGACAAGCUAUGUAAUAUUUCCUCAUUGUCUGAUAACGCUUGUUCUUCUAAUUUUAUUCGACGACGGGGUGGUGAUAACUCCUUAUCUAAAAAGAAAACAACAAAUAUUAAAAUUAGAUAUUGAAGUAUUUUCACAUUUAAUUGUGGUGAAAUGAAACAUCGAUUUUUAUUUUGAAUUUUUAUCCGAAAGCACUAACUCAGAGAAUGAGAAAAAUAAUAGGUUGUGUCCGUUGAACAUGCAAUCUUCAUUUACAAAAAAUUGUCUGUAAAGUUUCAAUUAUUUUAAGUCGGUGAGUUUUAAGAGUAGUGUUUUCAGUUUUUCUUGAAUAUUUUAAGCUUCAGUUGUACAGUGAUUAACUUUUUUUUAGAAUUCUUGCUUUGCCUUGUAUAAUGUAAAAAAUAUUUUAAGGAAGUUUGCGUUGAGAAAAUGGGUAAAUAAAAGGCACAGAAUUUAUACGAUUACCGUCUAUGAAUUCUAGUAAAGAAAUAGGGAUUGAUAUAAAUUACCUUUGAAUAAUGCUGAACGAACAGUGCUGAUUUCUUGUUAUCUCUUGACAAGCUCCUGAAAAGAAGAAAAUGUAUUUAGUACUGUAAGAAAUUGUGUUUUGUUUUACCUAUGAUGUAUGCAAAAAUAGUUCCUUUAGAAAACACAAAAUGAUUAUAAAAGUAAACUUCAUAUAAUAAAUUUUUUUUUAUCACACGACACGGUACCUGGAGUGUUUGUACAGAUGAAGAGCUAAAUCUUGGCUUCUCGAAAGCUCCGGGACUCCUACUUGUGUAGGAUGAAACUUUGAACAUUUCUCCAUUGAAAAAUGAGGAAAAAGCAAAUAUUUGGCGCUACUUUGAGGUUGUUUAGGUACAGUUUCAUUUAUAUUUUCUACACCAC